This 106-nucleotide small nuclear RNA is filed under the name Tursiops truncatus (common bottlenose dolphin). Lineage: Eukaryota; Metazoa; Chordata; Mammalia; Artiodactyla; Delphinidae. The record is from RNAcentral.
GUGCUCGCUCCGGCAGCACGUAUACUAAAGUUGGAACGAUACAGAGAAGAUUACCACGGCCCUGGGCAAGGAUGACAUGCGCAUUCGUGAAGUGUUCCAUGUCUUU